Molecule: ribosomal RNA, 468 nt
Filed under: uncultured bacterium
Lineage: Bacteria
Description: partial 16S ribosomal RNA
Rfam family: Bacterial small subunit ribosomal RNA
Source: RNAcentral
GACGAACGCUGGCGGCGUGCUUAACACAUGCAAGUCGAACGGAAAGGCCCUGCUUUUGUUGGGUGCUCGAGUGGCGAGCGCGUGAGAGACACGCGUGUAACCUGCCCUUAACUUUCGGAUAUCUCCUGGAAACUGGGGCUAAUACAGCAUAUGAGCUCCUGCACCACGGUGUGGGUCGGAAAGUUUCGGCGGUUGUGGAUGGACUCGCGGCUUAUCGGCUUGGUGGUCGGGUAGUGGCUUACCAAGGCUUCGACGGGGAGCCGGCCUGAGAGGGUGACCGGCCACACUGGGACUGAGGUACGGCGCGGAAGCCUACGGGAGGCAGCAGUGGGGAAUAUAGCACAAUGGGAGGAAGCCUGAGGGAGCAACGCCGGGUGCGGGAUGCCGGCCUUCGGGGGGUAAACCGCUUUCGACUGUGACGAGGCGGGAGUGACGGUAAUGGGUAAAGAAGCACCGGCUAACUACGUG